Molecule: ribosomal RNA, 492 nt
Filed under: uncultured bacterium
Lineage: Bacteria
Description: partial 16S ribosomal RNA
Rfam family: Bacterial small subunit ribosomal RNA
Source: RNAcentral
AGUGAACGCUGGCGGUAGGCCUAACACAUGCAAGUCGAACGGCAGCACAGUAAGAGCUUGCUCUUACGGGUGGCGAGUGGCGGACGGGUGAGGAAUACAUCGGAAUCUACUUUUUCGUGGGGGAUAACGUAGGGAAACUUACGCUAAUACCGCAUACGACCUACGGGUGAAAGCAGGGGAUCUUCGGACCUUGCGCGAUUGAAUGAGCCGAUGUCGGAUUAGCUAGUUGGCGGGGUAAAGGCCCACCAAGGCGACGAUCCGUAGCUGGUCUGAGAGGAUGAUCAGCCACACUGGAGCUGAGACACGGUCCAGACUCCUACGGGAGGCAGCAGUGGGGAAUAUUGGACAAUAGGCGCAAGCCUGAUCCAGCCAGACCGCGUGGGUGAAGAAGGCCUUCGGGUUGUAAAGCCGUUUUGUUGGGAAAGAAAAGCAGCAGGUUAAUACCCCGCUGUUCUGACGGUACCCAAAGAAUAAGCACCGGCUAACUUCGUG